Molecule: ribosomal RNA, 679 nt
Filed under: uncultured bacterium
Lineage: Bacteria
Description: bacterial SSU rRNA
Rfam family: Bacterial small subunit ribosomal RNA
Source: RNAcentral
CCCUUAGAGUUUGAUCCUGGCUCAGAUUGAACGCUGGCGGAAUGCUUUACACAUGCAAGUCGAACGAUGAACCUUAGCUUGCUAGGGGGAUUAGUGGCGGACGGGUGAGUAAUAUAUCGGAACGUGUCCAUUAAUGGGGGAUAACUAAUCGAAAGGUUGGCUAAUACCGCAUACGCCCUGAGGGGGAAAGCUGGGGAUCUUCGGACCUGGCGUUAAUGGAGCGGCCGAUACCUGAUUAGCUAGUUGGUAGGGCAAUGGCCUACCAAGGCAACGAUCAGUAGCUGGUCUGAGAGGACGACCAGCCACACUGGGACUGAGACACGGCCCAGACUCCUACGGGAGGCAGCAGUGGGGAAUUUUGGACAAUGGGGGAAACCCUGAUCCAGCCAUUCCGCGUGAGUGAAGAAGGCCUUCGGGUUGUAAAGCUCUUUCGCAAGGGAAGAAAAGAUAUAGGUGAAUAGCUUAUGUUGAUGACGGUACCUUGACAAGAAGCACCGGCUAACUACGUGCCAGCAGCCGCGGUAAUACGUAGGGUGCAAGCGUUAAUCGGAAUUACUGGGCGUAAAGCGUGCGCAGGCUGUUUUGUAAGUCAGAUGUGAAAUCCCCGAGCUCAACUUGGGAACUGCGUUUGAAACUACAAGACUAGAAUAGGUCAGAGGGGGGUAGAAUUCCACGUGUA